Molecule: transfer RNA, 75 nt
Filed under: bacterium
Lineage: Bacteria
Also listed under: 1 other name
Description: tRNA-Arg
Rfam family: tRNA
About the family: Transfer RNA (tRNA) molecules are approximately 80 nucleotides in length. Their secondary structure includes four short double-helical elements and three loops (D, anti-codon, and T loops).
Source: RNAcentral
GCCCCCAUAGUUUAAUGGACAAAACGUGAGCUUCCGGAGCUCGAGAUCGGGGUUCGAUUCCUCGUGGGGGCACCA